Molecule: ribosomal RNA, 253 nt
Filed under: uncultured prokaryote
Description: partial 16S ribosomal RNA
Rfam family: Bacterial small subunit ribosomal RNA
Source: RNAcentral
ACGUAGGGGGCAAGCGUUGUCCGGAAUUAUUGGGCGUAAAGCGCGCGCAGGCGGCUUCUUAAGUCUGAUGUGAAAGCCCACGGCUCAACCGUGGAGGGUCAUUGGAAACUGGGGAGCUUGAGUGCAGAAGAGGAGAGUGGAAUUCCACGUGUAGCGGUGAAAUGCGUAGAUAUGUGGAGGAACACCAGUGGCGAAAGCGGCUCUCUGGUCUGUAACUGACGCUGAGGCGCGAAAGCGUGGGGAGCAAACAGGA